RNAcentral lists this small nuclear RNA (139 nucleotides) under Parasitella parasitica. Its description in RNAcentral is "U2 spliceosomal RNA". It matches the Rfam family "U2 spliceosomal RNA", at positions 1 to 138 of the family's 192-position model. Rfam says of the family: U2 is a small nuclear RNA (snRNA) component of the spliceosome (involved in pre-mRNA splicing). Complementary binding between U2 snRNA (in an area lying towards the 5' end but 3' to hairpin I) and the branchpoint sequence (BPS) of the intron results the bulging out of an unpaired adenosine, on the BPS, which initiates a nucleophilic attack at the intronic 5' splice site, thus starting the first of two transesterification reactions that mediate splicing. Lineage: Eukaryota; Fungi; Mucoromycota; Mucoromycetes; Mucorales; Mucoraceae. The record is from Rfam by way of RNAcentral.
UUAUCCUCUCAGGCCUUUUGGCUAAGAUCAAGUGUAGUAUCUGUUCUUUAUAGUUUAACAACUAUAAUGAGGGACAUGUUCCCUCACGUUGUUAAUCUAAUUUUUUCCGCCCGGAAUCCAGAGCUCUGGCUUGCUAUCU